Labrus mixtus (cuckoo wrasse) is the source of this 1837-nucleotide long non-coding RNA. RefSeq lists it as uncharacterized. The transcript is spliced from 3 exons. The record is from RefSeq and is a predicted model, not a curated record. NCBI's taxonomy places the organism in Eukaryota, Metazoa, Chordata, Actinopteri, Labriformes, Labridae.
CUAACAAUACAGAAGCUCUAAAGCUCCUGUCAGUCUAAUGAACCUCAGUGUGUCAGUUCUUUGUGUCAGAGGGUUUGACGUCUUCAUAUAGAUGCUUCAGUGACACUUAAAAUUGUUGGGUUUUGAGGGAGGAGAUUGUUUGUGAGACACAGAAAGUAGUGGAGGAAAACACCAUUCUGCAUUUUGGGAGCAUUUUGAAUUGAAGUGAGCUACGGUUUGAUUUCUGAUGUUUAGAUUUUAUUUUCCAUACAUCAAUAACACCUCAUCCAUGUCGAAGCAUCUUCAAGCAAAGCAUGAUGAAAAUCAUCCACAGCAGGCCAACAGCACCGAGCCUGUCAAUGCUGGAUAUCUUGACUGCAAGUAUUCUUAAAUAAUAAUAAAUUAUCUGAUUAUUUUAUGAUCCAGAAAGAAGUAAUCAUGGGUUUCAAUGAUUAAGCUUUAAUGUUUAUAUAAGUGGUCUGCCUUAUAAUAUCCAGAAAACAAAGAUUGGAUGAGGCCUUGGCGGACUUGACAGUCAAGGAUGGCCGAGCAUUUUCAGUGGUAGAGGAUGAACGCUUUCACAAGUUUGUCAAAUCCUUGACUCGAGCACAGUCCCAAGAUACGAGAAAACCAGAGAGAUGGCCAUUGCUGAGGUCAGGCAGACUCUGCAGUUAGUCUUACCGCUGGUAUGUGGACAAUUUUUAACAUGGAUGCCUGCAGUGAUAGGCCAUUUUAUAUCUGAGAAUCUGAGGCCGAUCACUUUCCAUUUAGGGGUACAAAAGUUUCCCUUGACCCACACAGCAGAUCACUUGGCUGUUGCUAUCGCUGACAGUUACUGGCAUAGAAUAAAUCAAUAAGGUGUCACACACACUUCCUGAUUUGCUCAUGUUUUGAAUUUAGUAGAUGAAAAAUGAUCAGUACAGUACAAACCCCUGAGCUGGAAAACAUCCACGUCGAUCAAGCCUGCAAAAUUGUGGCUUACAUUAAGUCGAGCACCUCUGCAGAGGAGAAGCUGUGUGCCAUGAAGACAAGUCUGAGGAUGACGGUACUAAAACCAAUCCCAGAGGUAGACACAAUGUGGAACAGCACCAGAGUUAAGAGAACCUCUGGGUGCAGCUCUGACCUCUCUCAGCUCAGACAUAUGACCUUUCAGUGCUGAGGAGGCCUCCCAGCAGAGUCUUGUUGUGUUGGGUCCCUUCCAUCAAGACACUGUGGAGCUGUCAAAGGAGAAAAGUGUCAGGAUCCAAUUCCAAUUCCCUUGAUAAAAAUGUUAAAGCACGUUAUUGCUGGACAGUGCUCAAAUGCCUCAUGGCAUUGGUGCAAAAUUGGCCAACAAUUUGAAAAAAAUAAUCUGUCCGACAAAUCUAAACUAUACUGGAGAAAGUAAGUACCCUGUCUAUGCCCACCUUGCUGAACCCAAGAAUCAAAGAAGUGGUGUUUCGAUCCAAGGAAAUAAGCAAGCUGCAGUCAAGAGGCUGAAGAGAGAAUGGACAACGGGGGCCUCAGCUCAGCCUCAGGACUACAACCUCUAGGCCUUGCUGGACAGUCAUGUAGAAGCACAAAGUCAAGUGAACAAUGCCACUGUGGAAUUUUGGAGGUAUUUGAGAGAGCCACCCUGGGCAGGUGCCUGAGGACCCUCUGCAGUACUAAAUGACAAGAAACACUCCUUAUCACCACCUGUUUAAGUUGGCUUCAAGACGUCUCUGCCACUCGCAUCAUUGGUGCCAUGUGUAAUAAUCUUUUUUUACAAGGCUGGCUAAAUUCUCAGCCAGAAAAGGAGCUGACUUAAACCCAGCUCCAAGGAAAAUUAUAUUUCCAAAAACAAAUCUGUAAAAUAAAUCAAAAGUUUUAGAAAACA